Molecule: ribosomal RNA, 406 nt
Filed under: uncultured bacterium
Lineage: Bacteria
Description: partial 16S ribosomal RNA
Rfam family: Bacterial small subunit ribosomal RNA
Source: RNAcentral
AUUGAACGCUGGCGGCAGGCCUAACACAUGCAAGUCGAACGAGUGGCGGACGGGUGAGUAAUGUAUGGGAAACUGCCCGAUGGAGGGGGAUAACUACUGGAAACAGGAGCUAAUACCGCAUACCAUCGGAUGUGCCCAGAUGGGAUUAGCUAGUUGGUGGGGUAACGCCUCACCUAGCCGACGAUCCCUAGCUGGUCUGUGAGGAUGACCAGCCACCCUGGACUUGAACCACGGCCCAGCCCCCUACGGGAGGCAGCGUUGGGGAAAAUAGUACAAGGGGCGCAGCGUUAAUCCGACCAUGCCGCGUGUAGGGAGAAGUCCAUCGGGUUUUAAAGGUCUUUCAGCGAGAAGGCGUUACUCGCAGAAUAAGCACCGGCUAACUCCGUGCCAGCAGCCGCGGUAAUAC